Molecule: ribosomal RNA, 119 nt
Filed under: Pteropus alecto (black flying fox)
Lineage: Eukaryota; Metazoa; Chordata; Mammalia; Chiroptera; Pteropodidae
Source: RNAcentral
GUCUAUGGCCAUGCCACCCUGAAGAAUCCCAAUCCCGUCUGAUCUCAAAAGCUAAGCAGGAUCGGGCCUGGUUAGUACUCAGAUGGGAGACCACCUAGGAAAACCAGGUGCUGUAGGCG